Molecule: long non-coding RNA, 567 nt
Organism: Bubalus bubalis (water buffalo)
Lineage: Eukaryota; Metazoa; Chordata; Mammalia; Artiodactyla; Bovidae
Exons: 3
Source: RefSeq, a predicted model, not a curated record
UCUGUCUCUCAGCUGUUAUCUUCUCCCCAAGCAGGUGGGCAUCAUUUUGGAGGCGCCUCUCUGCUGCCCGGACCUUCAUGCCUGCAGGAGUUCUCCAUUAGCAUCCAAAAUGCUAACAGUCCACUCUUAGAGUCAGUACUUCAAGCAGAGCUGCAUGAAGGAUGCCCACUUCUGUACAUGAAAGCACAACCACUCCAGGUGGGCAGAUGCAAAAUGCCAGCACACUGACCUCUGCCAGGCAGCAAACACUUAAAGCAGAACACAAACUACUCAAGAACCUGGAAUUCUACGCAUUGGCUCUCCUGUGUUUCCCUAGCGCCUAGAACAGCCUCUGCACUUGUAAAUCAAUCAAUAUUAGGAGGAUCUGCUGACGCCAGUAGUUCAAGCCAACUCUGUGGACUCCUGUAGAGUGGAAAUGGAUGGGGAAGCUUGACAGGAAGGAUUCGCUAUCUACUGCUAUGAAGACUAUCUUUAUUAGGGGACACUGAGGUGUAUAAUGGAGAAGGAAAUGGCAACCCACUCCAGUGUUCUUGCUUGGAGAAUCCCAGGGACGGGGGAGCCUGGUGG